RNAcentral lists this ribosomal RNA (460 nucleotides) under uncultured bacterium. Its description in RNAcentral is "partial 16S ribosomal RNA". It matches the Rfam family "Bacterial small subunit ribosomal RNA", at positions 338 to 795 of the family's 1533-position model. The record is from RNAcentral.
CCUACGGGUGGCUGCAGUGAGGAAUAUUGGUCAAUGGACGAGAGUCUGAACCAGCCAAGUCGCGUGAAGGAUGACUGCCCUAUGGGUUGUAACCUUCUUUUAUAUGGGCGUAAAAUGUUCCACGUGUGGGAUUUUGUAUGUACCAUAUGAAUAAGGAUCGGCUAACUCCGUGCCAGCAGCCGCGGUAAUACGGAGGAUCCGAGCGUUAUCCGGAUUUAUUGGGUUUAAAGGGAGCGUAGGUGGAUUGUUAAGUCAGUUGUGAAAGUUUGCGGCUCAACCGUAAAAUUGCAGUUGAAACUGGCAGUCUUGAGUACAGGAGAGGUGGGCGGAAUUCGUGGUGUAGCGGUGAAAUGCUUAGAUAUCACGAAGAACUCCGAUUGCGAAGGCAGUUCACUGGACUGCAACUGACACUGAGGCUCGAAAGUGUGGGUAUCAAACAGGAUUAGAUACCCUAGUAGUC